CAAGUUCAUUGAAGUUGGAAGGUUAGACCUAGCGUUUUGGUUUUGCUUUCCAUAGCAAUAACCGGUUUACCCAAGAGCACACCAGAUCUGACUCUUCCAGCUCUUCGAACUUU
This 113-nucleotide microRNA precursor is filed under the name Fasciola hepatica (liver fluke). Its description in RNAcentral is "microRNA fhe-mir-750 precursor". Its record names the gene fhe-mir-750. The record is from miRBase by way of RNAcentral. Lineage: Eukaryota; Metazoa; Platyhelminthes; Trematoda; Plagiorchiida; Fasciolidae.